This 254-nucleotide ribosomal RNA is filed under the name uncultured bacterium. Its description in RNAcentral is "partial 16S ribosomal RNA". It matches the Rfam family "Bacterial small subunit ribosomal RNA", at positions 524 to 776 of the family's 1533-position model. The record is from RNAcentral.
UACGGGGGGGGCAAGCGUUGUUCGGAAUUACUGGGCGUAAAGGGCGCGUAGGCGGCCACCGCAAGUCGACUGUGAAAUCUCCGGGCUUAACCCGGAAAGGUCAGCCGAUACUGCGGGGCUAGAGUGCAGAAGGGGCAACUGGAAUUCUCGGUGUAGCGGUGAAAUGCGUAGAUAUCGAGAGGAACACCUGCGGCGAAGGCGGGUUGCUGGGCUGACACUGACGCUGAGGCGCGAAAGCUAGGGGAGCGAACGGG